UCUGGUCUGAAAAGACGUGAGAGGACACCCUCUGAUGAGAGUGGUGACGCGAAUAUCUGUUAGGGGUCACCUUUAGCUGAGUACUAUCGUGGCUAUAGAAUAUCUGAUAGGACCACUGUGGUUGGUACGACCUUGGGCAUAAAUCAUACCAUAGUUUGGCAAGCUGAAAAUAUGCCUGAGCAAAUUGUCGUUAUAUAUCUGAUUUGGUCAUUCCACAUGGGUAGUCAAAAAUCCGUAUUUGCCAUCAGAGAUGGAAGUUUGAACAAGUUCGCGAAGCAUAACAUGAAAAUUUGAGCAUUUCAUAAUUUAUUUGAUUUUUUCUAUUGAUAAGUAUUAUUUU
RNAcentral lists this long non-coding RNA (340 nucleotides) under Carica papaya (papaya). RNAcentral describes it as "long non-coding RNA (CPAP_LNC000127)". The record is from RNAcentral. Lineage: Eukaryota; Viridiplantae; Streptophyta; Magnoliopsida; Brassicales; Caricaceae.